Molecule: long non-coding RNA, 2715 nt
Organism: Brassica rapa (field mustard)
Lineage: Eukaryota; Viridiplantae; Streptophyta; Magnoliopsida; Brassicales; Brassicaceae
Source: RefSeq, a predicted model, not a curated record
AACCGAAAUUUGUUAUUUUCUAAUUCGAACUGAUUUCUGAUUUGGUUUACAAAAAACGGUUUGCAAUUAAUCGUAUCGCCAAAAAAGAAGCUUAACUUUAUUUGAAAGAAAAACUUCGUGUUCAUUUCUAUUCAAACUUACUUCGAUAAAUUCAUCGAGAUCGAUUUCGUCUCUCGCAAUGAACACUGAGACUUAUUGUUGGAAAUGGAUUACAUCCUUUGGACAAGUCUCAUCAAAUAAUUGAACUCGAGCCGUUUAGGAAAAAUGUGGCCUUAAAAUCUGAAAUGGACCAAAAGGCCAAAAAAGAGUCUCACACAUCCAAAAAAAAUCUGUAUGGACCAAGUGAUUGUGAAAUUAUCAUUUUACCCUUAAUGAAUGAAUAAUAUGAACCAUUGGAUUCUAUAAUCUUUCUAUAAAUCAGAACCGUCGGAUUAAGAGAAGAAAAGAGGAAUGUUAUAUUUACAAAAGUACCAUUAAUGAAACUCCAACCAGAGCCAUUGAUCAUCUUUUCUAUGUUUUAAUCUUGGUCACACGCUUUCACAGAUCUCUCAUUCUCUAUCUUCUCCUCCUCUUUAAUCUGACGCAUAAAUAACUCAGAGCCACACGAUUUUCAUUAUUUUAUUAUUCUCUCAUUCGACUAGGUACAACUAGUAUAACUCAUACAACUAUACAUGUUAAAAAUAAUAUAACUGGUACAACUGGUAUAUAAAUAUUAUAAUUCAUGUACAAUUUGCAGCUACUAUAAUUAACUCAACUAUUAAAUCAUUUUUUUACAUAUGAUGAUAAAAUUUCAUCUAUUUUUUCUGAGGCUCUUCAAUUAUUGUUAAAUUAUUAAAUUACACUAUCAAUUUUAUUUAAGAGACUUUAUACUUUUAAGGUUUGUUAAUUAGAUUGACCAUAUUAUUAUGAAAAAUAAACAUCAAAAAUAUAUUUACAAAGUUAUAAUGUGAAAAUAUUGGUACAACUCCUAAAACUAAACAUAUACAAAAUUUGGCAUAUUUUUUAUUAUAUAUUAAACAUGAAUUACUGGUACAAUUUUGACAUUUCAGAAAUUGACAAAAUCAAUUUGGUAUUUCCAUAUGAAAAAACAAUCAAAUGACCAAACUGGUAACUGUUUAGAUAGAUUCCUUAUUUUUAAUGAUUUUUUGUUUUUUUUGUUUUGUUUUUAGCAAUUCUUACACCAUCAUAUAAGUUUACAUGAUCUAUCUUAUACUUUUAAGGUUUAUUAACUUGUUUGUCUACAUAAUUUAUGGAAAACAUACAUAAAAUGUAUUUAAACAGUUAUGAAAUGUAUUUACCAGACUAGUAAUACUGAUAUAACUAGUACAACUACUCAGGUUCUGAAAUUUAAAUAUUCCUUCGAGUAUGUCAUAUGAAAAAAAUCAAUAACAUGGCUAAAUUGUAAAGUAUUUAUAAAGGUUCCUUAUGAUAUUUCAUGGGGGCUUUUUUUUUUUUGCAAAUCUAACACAAUCACAUAAGUUUGCAUGAUCUACCUUAUACUUUUAAGGUUUGUUAACUUCUUUGUCCACAUAAUUUUUGGAAAACAUACAUGAAAUGUAUUUUAACAAAAUUUAUGAUUUCAUUUUAUUGGGGCACAGAUAUGUACACAUAAUGAAGUGGUACAACUGAGAUGCAAGCGGGAAAGAUUAAACUAGUAUAACUAUGUACAGACGGUACAGCUCAAAUACUAGUACAACUAUGUUAUUUCAUCACGAUUAAAACAAUUCUUUGCAAAAAAAAAACACAAAAAUCAUACAUCAAAUCCAAUCUUUUUCUUCUUUCCGGUGACUCGCGUUUUUAGAACAAUGUUUGAAGAAUUUUCUGGCUCUGCAUCUAGCUUUUUGGCCUCAAGACCAAAAAGAUGAAGAUGAUCUUUUUCCGAAAAUCGUACAACUAGUAUAACUAGUACAACUAGUACAACUUGUAAACGUAUCAAUUUCAAAUCAAAUAUUAUUAAAAAUAUACUAUUCAUAUAUUUGACACAUGCAUGCGGGAUAAAUUAGACCAAUAUGUCUUAUUGGUUCUACAUCAUUCUCUUUUCUAGCAUCUUCAUAUGCCGAAAACAAUAAAUAUAUGAAAUUAUUAUACAUCUCAUAAUUAAGUGAUGUCAUUUCAUAAUUUCUCAAAGCCAUGUCAUCUUUUUUUGUGAGAAUGAACAUGGUGAUGAUACAUAAGAAAAUGAUUUUUCAAAUAAUAAAUAUGACAUACUCAAUAUGUACUAGUUGUACUAAUUCGAGUUGUAGAAGUUGUACUAGUUUGAGUUGUACUAGUUGUCCUAGUUUGAGUUGUACUAGUUGUACUAGUAAUACUUUUCGUUGUUCAUUAUUUUGAAUAUCGGAUGGAAAAGAUGAAAUUUGACUCUGGAUAUGAUAUAAUUGAUUAAACAUGAUUAUGGGUUGAUCGAUUUGAGAUAAGAAAGAGAAAAUUAGUGGAUGGUUGAAGAAAUUUUUUGAUUUUGUAUUAUGGUGGAAGAACUAUGAAUGGGGAAGAAAUGGGGGAAGAAGAAGGAGAUUGGGUCGGAUUUCGGGUCUGGAUCUGGGUCGGAUAUUGGGUUGGAUAGUAAUGGCAUAGGUUAGUAAAUAUGUUUAACUCCUUAGGUUUUUCAGUUAUUUAACAUAGAUUUCUAUUUAAAUUUAAAUACAAAAUAAAUAAAUAAAGUGAUGGGUCUAAUUGAGAUUUUUUGGAGACCAAGUGGUCCAUCUCAGCAUUUGAUCC